GGGCCCGCACAAGCAGUGGAGUAUGUGGUUUAAUUCGACGCAACGCGAAGAACCUUACCAGGGCUUGACAUCCUCUGACGAUCCUAGAGAUAGGAUUUCUCUUCGGAGCAGAGAGACAGGUGGUGCAUGGUUGUCGUCAGCUCGUGUCGUGAGAUGUUGGGUUAAGUCCCGCAACGAGCGCAACCCUUAUUGCCAGUUGCCAUCAUUAAGUUGGGCACUCUGGCGAGACUGCCGUGGAUAACACGGAGGAAGGUGGGGACGACGUCAAAUCAUCAUGCCCCUUAUGUCCUGGGCUACACACGUACUACAAUGGCAACAACAGAAAGCAGCAAAACCGCGAGGUCAAGCGAAUCUCCAAAUGUUGUCUCAGUUCGGAUUGCAGGCUGCAACUCGCCUGCAUGAAGUCGGAAUUGCUAGUAAUGGCAGGUCAGCAUACUGCCGUGAAUACGUUCCCGGGCCUU
This 461-nucleotide ribosomal RNA is filed under the name uncultured bacterium. Its description in RNAcentral is "bacterial SSU rRNA". It matches the Rfam family "Bacterial small subunit ribosomal RNA", at positions 917 to 1382 of the family's 1533-position model. The record is from RNAcentral.